AAUUUAUUUUUAAAAAAAAAUAAUAUUUUCACAUCGACCUCUUAUCGAGUAGUUUGUUUAUUUACAUUUGUAGAGGUGGAGCACAAAAUGGGGGAUAUUGAAGAUGAACAAGUAGAUUUUGACUUUGAAGUAAAUGAUGACGGAAAAAUUAUCAAUUUCACAAUUAUGGACAGGAUAAAAAAUAUAAAUAAAGUUAUACAAAUCAAUAAAGAUGUAUCUACUAUUAUUAAGCUAAAAGAAAUUCAACAAGAACUAGCAUUUCUAGGUCCAUUUGAUGAAAAUACUGUAUUUAAAAAACUUACUUUUAAAAAAAAACUUACAAAAGAAAUUCUUAAAAAAAACAACUAUGUUGUUUACAUCACCAGUUUCUAUGAUUAUAUUAACGUAAUUUUCUAUUUCUGGAAUGGUAAGAAAAUGUUAGCUAAAAUCAAAGAACCAAUUUAUAUAAUAUCCGGGUGUUAUAUUUCUAUAAUUGAUAAAUUUAACUUCUAUAUUAAAACUGAGCUUAGAAUUAAUGAUCGCGAUAUUGAGUCUGCUAUUAAGGAAGGCACACUUAACGUAUCUGAUAUUGUUCAGACUUGGUCAGACUUGGUCAGAUAUAGUACAUUAGAUGAGAAGGUAUCGAAGGAACUAGAAUUCAGUCUUGCUCUCUGGAACAACAUCUUGGGAAAUCAAGAACAACUACUUUGUAUAACUAACCAUGAUGACAUAACUGCUUUAAAUGCGGUUUCAUUAUCAGAGGUAUUCAGAAAUCCAAUUAUGAUAGUUAUAAACCUAAUUGCAAUAAAAAUGUAUAUCUUACAUAUUUGGGACGACUUCCACAAGUACCUGCCACCUCUAGCUGGGGGAACAUGGGAAAAUCAACAGGAGUACUGUCCAAAAUUUAGAAAACGAAUGAUUUCUUUUUUGAAAAAACAUUUUCCGGAAGAUUUUCCGAAAUCAUAGAUUUUAUUUGAUUAGUUUAAUUUAUUGAAAAAGUUUUUAUUCAUGGAAGGGAUUGUGGAGGGUCCAAAAAAAAUAAAAAAAUAAAACAUCUAAAAAUGUCAUACAAAAUCUACAAAUUCAUCUUCAUUAUCCCCCAUGUUGCUCCACCUCUGCUUCUGGGAGGAGCCAAGUGGGGCCACAGAGCGGACUCCUCCAUCUCAUACCGCCAACUCUGUAAAUCCACCAGGCCCCACAAUGCAUCCUCCACACCAAUGCAGUAACAGCCAUAUCUUCAGGUCAGAAAGCUUCAGUACAAAAAUACUCCUCCAUCUCAUCCCACCAACUCUGUAAAUCCACCAGGCCCCACAAUGCAUCCUCCACACCACUGCAGUAACAGCCAUAUCUUCAGGUCACAAAGCUUCAGUACUAUCUGAAUGUGUUGAAUUACCAUCCAGCAUCCUGUGGCAACGUCAAUGUGAAACCGCAUUGGCCCGUGAUCACCACCAACCCGUGAUCACCACCAACCCGGCUCCAGAGCGGUAGCCAUGGACACCCACUCUUUGCUCAAGAUCAACGAAAGGAGAUUUGGAAGGAUCCCAGGAUGGCCUCCCGAGAGAGCACACCUGGCAGCAGAGAGCACUUUGAUGUGAUUGGCUGUUCAGCAGGAAGUUUCAUCUGGCUACACAGAAGAGAUGAUGGAUCUGACCGAUAAUGUUUUUUAUGGGAUGAUGUAUGAUUCUAAAUAAAAAAGUGUGAAAUGUA
Long non-coding RNA from Coregonus clupeaformis (lake whitefish), 1686 nucleotides. RefSeq lists it as uncharacterized. The transcript has 6 exons. The record is from RefSeq and is a predicted model, not a curated record. Lineage: Eukaryota; Metazoa; Chordata; Actinopteri; Salmoniformes; Salmonidae.